RNAcentral lists this ribosomal RNA (426 nucleotides) under uncultured bacterium. Its description in RNAcentral is "partial 16S ribosomal RNA". It matches the Rfam family "Bacterial small subunit ribosomal RNA", at positions 354 to 796 of the family's 1533-position model. The record is from RNAcentral.
GUGAGGAAUUUUCCGCAAUGGGCGAAAGCCUGACGGAGCAAUGCCGCGUGAAGGAUGAAGGCCUAUGGGUUGUAAACUUCUUUUCUCAGAAAAGAAUUAUGACGGUAUCUGAGGAAUAAGCAUCGGCUAACUCUGUGCCAGCAGCCGCGGUAAGACAGAGGAUGCAAGCGUUAUCCGGAAUGAUUGGGCGUAAAGCGUCUGUAGGUUGUUUAAAAAGUAUUCUGUCAAAGAUUAGGGCUUAACCCUAGAUAGGCAGAAUAAACUUUUAAGCUAGAGUUUGGUAGAGGCAGAGGGAAUUCCCGGUGGAGCGGUGAAAUGCGUAGAUAUCGGGAGGAACACCAGAGGCGAAGGCACUCUGCUGGGCCAAUACUAACACUGAGAGACGAAAGCGAGGGGAGCAAAUGGGAUUAGAAACCCUAGUAGUCC